RNAcentral lists this unclassified non-coding RNA (209 nucleotides) under Hevea brasiliensis (rubber tree). Lineage: Eukaryota; Viridiplantae; Streptophyta; Magnoliopsida; Malpighiales; Euphorbiaceae. The record is from RNAcentral.
GCACCUCCUUCCUCUCUCUUCUCAUUCUUGCAAAGCUUCCAGAGAAUUGACACUGAGAAUUUUGAUGCCAAUUCUGAUGCUAAAAUCUUCUGAAACAACACAGGAAUGAUUAGAGCAUUCUCAUACGCCUUUUCUCUCCCUUCUUUGGAGUCACAAACAUGGUCCAAAACGCCCAAAGCCUUUUCACAUAUGCUUUUAUCUCCAUCAAC